RNAcentral lists this transfer RNA (67 nucleotides) under Loxocorone allax. RNAcentral describes it as "tRNA-Val". Lineage: Eukaryota; Metazoa; Entoprocta; Loxosomatidae. The record is from RNAcentral.
CUUUUUAGAGCAUGAUUUAUGCUUUUCGCUUACAAUGAAAUGAUCCUAAAAUUUUUAGGUAAAAAGA